RNAcentral lists this ribosomal RNA (253 nucleotides) under uncultured bacterium. RNAcentral describes it as "partial 16S ribosomal RNA". It matches the Rfam family "Bacterial small subunit ribosomal RNA", at positions 524 to 776 of the family's 1533-position model. The record is from RNAcentral.
UACGGAAGGGGCAAGCGUUGUUCGGAAUCAUUGGGCGUAAAGGGCGCGUAGGUGGUUUUGUGUGUCUACCGUGAAAGCGUACGGCUCAACCGUAUUUUGUCGGUAGAAACUGCAGGACUUGAGGCUGGGAGGGGCUGGUGGAAUUCCCUGUGUAGCGGUGAAAUGCGUAGAGAUGGGGGAGAACACUCGUGGCGAAGGCGGCCAGCUAGACCAGUUCUGACACUGAGGCGCGAUAGCGUGGGGAGCAAACAGG